CUGGAGACAGGUGCUGCAUGGCUGUCGUCAGCUCGUGUCGUGAGAUGUUGGGUUAGUCCGCAACGAGCGCAACCCUUGCCUUUAGUUGCCAGCAGUUCGGCUGGGCACUCUAAAGGGACUGCCGGUGUUAAACCGGAGGAAGGUGGGGAUGACGUCAAGUCCUCAUGGCCUUUAUGACCAGGGCUACACACGUACUACAAUGGCCGAUACAAAGGGCAGCGACACUGCGAGGUGAAGCCAAUCCCGUAAAAUCGGUCUCAGUCCGGAUUGGAGUCUGCAACUCGACUCCAUGAAGUUGGAAUCGCUAGUAAUCGUGGAUCAGCAUGCCACGGUGAAUACGUUCCCGGGCCUU
This 352-nucleotide ribosomal RNA is filed under the name uncultured Desulfobulbus sp. RNAcentral's name for it is "bacterial SSU rRNA". It matches the Rfam family "Bacterial small subunit ribosomal RNA", at positions 1028 to 1382 of the family's 1533-position model. The record is from RNAcentral. Lineage: Bacteria; Pseudomonadati; Thermodesulfobacteriota; Desulfobulbia; Desulfobulbales; Desulfobulbaceae.